AGCGAACGCUGGCGGCAGGCCUAACACAUGCAAGUCGAACGAACCUUUCGGGGUUAGUGGCGGACGGGUGAGUAACACGUGGGAACGUGCCUUUAGGUUCGGAAUAACUCAGGGAAACUUUUUCUAAUACCGAAUGUGCCCUUCGGGGGAAAGAUUUAUCGCCUUUAGAGCGGCCCGCGUCUGAUUAGCUAGUUGGUUGAGGUAAUGGCUCACCAAGGCGACGAUCAGUAGCUGGUCUGAGAGGAUGAUCAGCCACAUUGGGACUGAGACACGGCCCAAACUCCUACGGGAGGCAGCAGUGGGGAAUCUUGCGCAAUGGGCGAAAGCCUGACGCAGCCAUGCCGCGUGAAUGAUGAAGGUCUUAGGAUUGUAAAAUUCUUUCACCGGGGACGAUAAUGACGGUACCAGGAGAAGAAGCCCCGGCUAACUUCGUG
RNAcentral lists this ribosomal RNA (434 nucleotides) under uncultured bacterium. RNAcentral describes it as "partial 16S ribosomal RNA". It matches the Rfam family "Bacterial small subunit ribosomal RNA", at positions 29 to 507 of the family's 1533-position model. The record is from RNAcentral.